AGCUGCCAUUCCAUCUUGCUGAUUUUAACUAACUGAAAGGAUGCAGCAUUUGACUAGAGCAGCCUACCUGGUUAUUAUGUCCUUUUCAUUUUCCCUGUCUUUGUUACACCCGGCUAAAGCAAUCCAUUGAGUGGGAGAUAAGCAAAAUGCGUGGCUGUCUGUGAGCAUUCUAGCUCUACGGUAUCUUGUUUGGAUAGUUCUUGCCAAGUUACUCCCCCUAAAUUGAACUGGUUUCCCAUAUACUAAAUCAGAAAUUAAGUAACCUAGUUUCUAAAUACUAAUAAUAUUAAUAAAAUAAUAAAGUCAUUCUUUAAAAAUGUUAUUAUGACAACUUGAUAUUAGUGACUUGGGAACCAUGGAAAGAAACUUGGUUCAAAUAGACACAAUAUUGGGUUUCUUACUACAUUUAGAAGUAAGUAUAUUUAGUGGAGUACAAAGGAACUAUUGAUGGUAUUCACUACUGAUCUUGUCAAAGUCAAAGUUUUUAAAACUUAAAAAAGAUGACUCAUACGAAUAUAGAAUAAACAUGUCAAAAGUUUAUUUAACUCAUUAACAAGGCUUAUGAGUCAAGAGUUUAACCAGGUAAGAAGAAUCAGUAAAAUACAUGGAUACACAUAUUUACUCACUUAUUUAUUAACUUCAAAGAAUUGAUUUACAAAUUCUGGACUUUCUGACCUAUAGAACUUCAGAACUUCUGAAAGUUCUAUAGGUGAGGAAGUCCAGAAGGGAAGAUUAUAAAUAUGCUGGAACUCCAUCAGUUUGGACCAAAGCUUGUUGUUUAUAGGCUGUCAGAAAAGAAUGAUUAGGAGCAGGCUGGAACUUAAAAGGGCCCAAGCUGUGUCCUCAGGGAAGGCUUAAACAUU
RNAcentral lists this long non-coding RNA (863 nucleotides) under Homo sapiens (human). Its description in RNAcentral is "non-protein coding lnc-TRPS1-6:1". Lineage: Eukaryota; Metazoa; Chordata; Mammalia; Primates; Hominidae. The record is from RNAcentral.